Molecule: ribosomal RNA, 251 nt
Filed under: uncultured prokaryote
Description: partial 16S rRNA
Rfam family: Bacterial small subunit ribosomal RNA
Source: RNAcentral
ACGGAGGGUGCGAGCGUUAUUCGGAAUUACUGGGCGUAAAGCGCGUGCAGGCGGGGAGGCAAGUCUGUUGUGAAAGCCCUGGGAUUUAACCGGGACGCGCAUUGGAAACUGUCUUUCGUGAGUAUUGGUGUGGAAGUGGGAAUUCCCGGUAUAGAGGUGAAAUUCGUAGAGAUCGGGAGGAAUACCAGUGGCGAAGGCACCCUUCUGGACGUUUUCUGACGCUGAGACUCGAAAGCGUGGUGAGCAAACAG